This 1290-nucleotide ribosomal RNA is filed under the name metagenome. Its description in RNAcentral is "bacterial LSU rRNA". It matches the Rfam family "Bacterial large subunit ribosomal RNA", at positions 1611 to 2925 of the family's 2925-position model. The record is from RNAcentral.
AAAAAAGCCCUAUACCCGUUAAGGCAUCAUGGCCUGUACCCGAAACCGACACAGGUGGGGUGGUAGAGAAUACCGAGGGGCGCGAGGUAACUCUCUCUAAGGAACUCGGCAAAAUGGCCCCGUAACUUCGGGAGAAGGGGUGCCACCGCAAGGUGGUCGCAGUGAAGAGGCCCAGGCGACUGUUUACCAAAAACACAGGUCUCCGCUAAGUCGCAAGACGAUGUAUGGGGGCUGACGCCUGCCCAGUGCCGGAAGGUUAAGGAAGCUGGUCAGCGCAAGCGAAGCUAGCGACUGAAGCCCCGGUGAACGGCGGCCGUAACAAUAACGGUCCUAAGGUAGCGAAAUUCCUUGUCGGGUAAGUUCCGACCCGCACGAAAGGCGUAACGAUCUGGGCGCUGUCUCGGAGAGAGGCUCGGCGAAAUAGAAUUGUCUGUGAAGAUGCGGACUACGUGCACCCGGACAGAAAGACCCUAUGAAGCUUUACUGUAGCUUGGUACUGUGCCCGGGCUCGCAAUGCGCAGGAUAGGUGGGAGGCUUUGAUCAUCGGCUUGCGGGUCGAUGUGAGCCAACGGUGAGAUACCACUCUUUGCGAGCUAGGGUUCUAACGGCCACCCGUCAUCCGGGGGCCGGACAGUACCUGGUGGGCAGUUUGACUGGGGCGGUCGCCUCCUAAAAGGUAACGGAGGCGCGCAAAGGUUUGCUCAGGCUGGUUGGAAAUCAGCCGACGAGUGUAAAAGCAGAAGCAAGCUUGACUGUGAGACCAACAAGUCGAACAGGGAGGAAACUCGGCUUUAGUGAUCCGACGGUUCUGAGUGGAAGGGCCGUCGCUCAACGGAUAAAAGUUACUCUAAGGAUAACAGGCUGAUCUCCCCCAAGAGUUCACAUCGACGGGGAGGUUUGGCACCUCGAUGUCGGCUCAUCGCAACCUGGGGCUGAAGUCGGUCCCAAGGGUUGGGCUGUUCGCCCAUUAAAGCGGUACGCGAGCUGGGUUCAGAACGUCGUGAGACAGUUCGGUCCAUAUCCGGUGCACGCGCAGGAAUAUUGAGAGGAUUUCUCCCUAGUACGAGAGGACCGGGAGGAACGCACCUCUGGUGUACCAGUUAUCGUGCCAACGGUAAACGCUGGGUAGCCAUGUGCGGAGUGGAUACCGCUGAAAGCAUCUAAGUGGGAAGCCCACCUCAAGAUGAGUAUUCUGGUGUAAGGUCACGGGAAGACGACCCGUAAAUAGGCACGAGGUGGAAGUGCAGAGAUGUAUGAAGCCGAAGUGUACUAAUAGACCGUCGGCUUGAC